This is a long non-coding RNA of Zonotrichia albicollis (white-throated sparrow), 2318 nucleotides long. The record is from Ensembl. Lineage: Eukaryota; Metazoa; Chordata; Aves; Passeriformes; Passerellidae.
AGAGCAUGCACUCAUUAGCUACUGUCUGCCAACAAGUUGGGAAAGUGCAAUGUUAUAUGAAAUGUCUGGCUGUUAUAAAAGGCUUUGGUUAAGUAAUCACAUUUCUCUUGCAUAAGUGCUUGUUUUUGGGAGGCUUUAGCCAAUUGGAGGCUGCAGCAGCACACAGACAGAGAAUAGGGUUCGGAGGCGGAGACUCCCCAGCGCCGCUUGUAGCUGAACCACAGCUGUAAAACGCUGCCAUAAAGCCUGUGUGGAUUCCUAGUAAGAUGGAUGCUCUACACAAGUUGAAGAUUUUGGUGAUGUUUCUGUCUCUGGCUACUUUCACGGUCAUGGUGAUAAUGAAUGCUGGAAAUGCCACUGGGACUUUCAAAGGUGUGUUCAGGACAACCCCUGGAAACAUCUCUGCCAAGUACAGCACUGAUUUCACACCAGCUGGCUGGACUUUCCUCAUCUGGAACGUCAUCUACGCCUGGCAGCUCGCCUGGCUCCUCUAUGCCCUGUCGGGGAUCUGUCGAAGGAAUGAACUUGGAUAUGUCUUCAUAAAGCCAGACUUGCUGCCAACACCUUUUUAUGUGGCAUGGUGUCUGAAUAAUUGCCUCAAUGUUGGAUGGCUCUUUCUGUGGGACCGAGAAUACCUCCUUCCAGCCCUGGUGUUCCUGGCAGUCCUCUCUUUUACCACGUGUGCCUCCCUUUAUGUUUCCCACCGAGCCUUGAGCAUCCAUUCCUCGUGGUUUGUGAAGGCUCACAAGGCUGAGCUCUGGCUCAUCCGCAUUCUGGUGCAGAACGGGCUGGCCCUGUACCUGACGUGGACCAGCAUCGCCACGCUGCUGAACUUCGCCGUCGUGCUCAUCUACAAGUGGAACGUGCCCAAUGAGAAAGCCACCACUGCUUCCCUGAGCAUCCUGGCUCUCAGCCUGGUGAUAUGGUUUUAUCUAGAAAACUACUUUCUUGACAAGUACGUCCGCUACAACCUCACAGUGUACCCAGUGGUGAUAGCAGCUCUGACUGGUAGUGCGUGCAGGAGCGGCUCGUUCUCAUCCACACUGACCAACGACGUUUUUAUAGUUGUUCUCCUGGCACUGACAUGUUUGAUCUUUGCUGUUCGGCUGGGAUUAGUCAUAUGGAGACACUGGAAGAGACCACUGGAAGCAUCAGAAUCCCGAGGCCCAUCAGGCACAGUGGCCUGAGACCUCUGGCACUUCGUGGCUGAUACUUGAAAGGGAGAAAAAAGAAUUGGGCAUGUGCUGGUCCUUCCCUCCUGUAUCCAUUUCCUUGUGCAUUUCUCUCCUAUUCCCCAUUCCAAAUGCAGAUGUCUUGCAUCUGCAAAUGUGUCCUGCUCCCACAUUCCCUUGGAUCAGCUACUCACAACCCUGACUUGAAUCCCUUUGAUUUUACCCUGGAAAAGUUCAGGAAAAGUUCCUGAGCAGCCCUGUGCACCUUUGUGGUGCCUGGGCUGUGGCUCUCUUCUCCUGCCAACAGGCACCCAGAAGGCUUGCACACACAGUUGUUCUUGUUUUUCCCUUGGUAUCUCCCUUUCUUUGAAGUGCAGAUCCAAGUGAACUGUCCCUGGGGUUCCAGGGGAGCAGUGGGAUGUCUGUCAUUCCCUUGGCCAUUGGUGCUGAGCAUCCUCAAGCCCUGGUGCUGUCUGCAGAUCUCCUGCAGGCAGCCACUGCUCCUUUCCUGCUUCUCUUCAGCAUGACAGGAGCAGAUACUACAAUUUGAUAUCUGCCUUUGCAGUGCCAGCUCUGCUGUUUGAUGUUCAGGGGGGCAGGGGGAGUGACUGGAGAUUUCUGGCACAAAUGUGUUGCCUUUCCCUGAGCUGUGCACAGCUUGGGCUGGCUGGAUGUCUCUCACUGGGGAGGGUUUGUGGCCUCUCUGGAAGGAGGUUAGAUGUACAGAUGAGCUGGUACCUGAUCUGGGGUGAAGCCUGAUGCUUCAAAGGAAACCUGUUUAAAAAAAAAAAAAAAAAAUUGAACCGGUGGAGCGAGUUCAUCCUGGAUCAGUGCCUUCUCAUGUGGCUUCACCACUUCUGAGUUGGGAUUAGGAAGCCUAAAACUGGAUUGACUGAAUUUUUGGACCACUGCCUUUCCUUCCUGUGCCUAAUUGAGAGUUGGUGGUGCCUCACAGGUGUCUGGAAAGUCUUUGCACCAGGAAGGUGCUGUCAGUGCAUCCUGCAGUAUUAUUAACAAAACUAAAUUCUAAAAUAACAUGAGCUAUUGUUUACAUUUAGCAAAAACCAAAAGUAUUGUAAUUCAAUUCUUCUCCUCAUUCUGGUGUGGUUUUUUUAAAAUUUUCAAAUAAAUCAGCUAAUUCUACCA